UUUUAAACCUAAUCUCGUCACAUACUUAUCAAAACACUCAUACCAGUCCCUUGGACUUUCUUUUAACCCAUACAGCGCUUUCGAUAGUUUACAAACUCUAUUCGUUCCGUCCACAUAUCCCUUUGGUUGAUUUACAUAUACCUCCGAGGUUACUUCACCAUUUAAAAAGGCAGUUUCUACAUCCAUUUGCUCAAUAAUUGAUCCAUUUUGACAACAAUAUGAUAGCAAUAUCUUAAAGGUCUGAUUACUCGCUACUGGGGAGUAUAUGUCAUCAGCUACGUUUCUUUGUUGGAAUCCUCUUACCACUAAUCUAGCCUUAUACCUGUCAUCUGAUUUUCUCGUGUAAACCCAUUUUCCAUCUAAUACGUCUUUGCU
Molecule: unclassified non-coding RNA, 375 nt
Filed under: Bombus terrestris (buff-tailed bumblebee)
Lineage: Eukaryota; Metazoa; Arthropoda; Insecta; Hymenoptera; Apidae
Description: misc RNA ENSBTSG00005035261.1
Source: RNAcentral